GUAGGGGGCGAGCGUUGUCCGGGAUUUAUUGGGGCGUAAAGAGCUCGUAGGCGGCUCAGCAAGUCGGCCGUGAAAGCCUGAGGGCUCAACCUCAGGACGCCGGUCGAAACUGCUGUGGCUAGGGUUCGGUAGAGGAGAGUGGAAUUCCCGGUGUAGCGGUGAAAUGCGCAGAUAUCGGGAGGAACACCAGUAGCGAAGGCGGCUCUCUGGGCCGAUACCGACGCUGAGGAGCGAAAGCUAGGGGAGCGAACAGGAUUAGAUACCCUGGUAGUCCUAGCUGUAAACGUUGGGCACUAGGUGUGGCGGACUCAUUGACGUCUGCCGUGCCGAAGCUAACGCAUUAAGUGCCCCGCCUGGGGAGUACGGUCGCAAGGCUA
RNAcentral lists this ribosomal RNA (377 nucleotides) under uncultured organism. RNAcentral describes it as "partial 16S ribosomal RNA". It matches the Rfam family "Bacterial small subunit ribosomal RNA", at positions 527 to 896 of the family's 1533-position model. The record is from RNAcentral.